CUCUGACGUGUGGUUGACAGGUAGUAGGGCAUCACCAUGGUUUAACACCCUCUCUGACGUGUGGUUGACAGGUAGUAGGGCAUCACCAUGGUUUAACACCCUCUCUGACGUGUGGUUGACAGGUAGUAGGGCAUCACCAUGGUUUAACACCCUCUCUGACGUGUGGUUGACAGGUAGUAGGGCAUCACCAUGGUUUAACACCCUCUCUGACGUGUGGUUGACAGGUAGUAGGGCAUCACCAUGGUUUAACACCCUCUCUGACGUGUGGUUGACAGGUAGUAGGGCAUCACCAUGGUUUAACACCCUCUCUGACGUGUGGUUGACAGGUAGUAGGGCAUCACCAUGGUUUAACACCCUCUCUGACGUGUGGUUGACAGGUAGUAGGGCAUCACCAUGGUUUAACACCCUCUCUGACGUGUGGUUGACAGGUAGUAGGGCAUCACCAUGGUUUAACACCCUCUCUGACGUGUGGUUGACAGGUAGUAGGGCAUCACCAUGGUUUAACACCCUCUCUGACGUGUGGUUGACAGGUAGUAGGGCAUCACCAUGGUUUAACACCCUCUCUGACGUGUGGUU
Molecule: long non-coding RNA, 576 nt
Organism: Oncorhynchus keta (chum salmon)
Lineage: Eukaryota; Metazoa; Chordata; Actinopteri; Salmoniformes; Salmonidae
Exons: 4
Source: RefSeq, a predicted model, not a curated record